Molecule: unclassified non-coding RNA, 418 nt
Filed under: soil metagenome
Description: partial contains 5.8S ribosomal RNA, internal transcribed spacer 2, and large subunit ribosomal RNA
Rfam family: 5.8S ribosomal RNA (bases 1-120)
Source: RNAcentral
GAUGAAGAACGUAGCGAAAUGCGAUAAGUAAUGUGAAUUGCAGAAUUCAGUGAAUCAUCGAAUCUUUGAACGCACCUUGCGCUCCUUGGUAUUCCAAAGAGCAUGCCUGUUUGAGUAUCAUUAAAUUAUCAACUGUACCAAUUUGGUUGCAGAUUGGAUGUGGGAGAUUUUGCAGGCUUUUGAUUUCUCUUUGAGAAAACGGUCAGCUCUCCUGAAAUAUAUUAGCAGUGCCUUUGUUGGUUCAUUAGGUUUGAUAAUUUAUCUACAUCUUCACAUGGUACCUUCAUUUGUGUAAAGGUCAUAUUGCUUCUAAUUGUCUUUGGACAUAAAAAAAAAAAAACAUAUAAUUGUAUGGAAAACUUGAUCUCAAAUCAGGCAGGACUACCCGCUGAACUUAAGCAUAUCAAUAAGCGGAGGA